ACUCCUGCGGGAGGCAGCAGUGGGGAAUAUUGGACAAUGGGCGCAAGCCUGAUCCAGCCAUGCCGCGUGAGUGAUGAAGGCCCUAGGGUUGUAAAGCUCUUUCACCGGUGAAGAUAAUGACGGUAACCGGAGAAGAAGCCCCGGCUAACUUCGUGCCAGCAGCCGCGGUAAUACGAAGGGGGCUAGCGUUGUUCGGAUUUACUGGGCGUAAAGCGCACGUAGGCGGACUAUUAAGUCAGGGGUGAAAUCCCGGGGCUCAACCCCGGAACUGCCUUUGAUACUGGUAGUCUUGAGUUCGAGAGAGGUGAGUGGAAUUCCGAGUGUAGAGGUGAAAUUCGUAGAUAUUCGGAGGAACACCAGUGGCGAAGGCGGCUCACUGGCUCGAUACUGACGCUGAGGUGCGAAAGCGUGGGGAGCAAACAGGAUUAGAAACCCGGGUAGUCCCA
RNAcentral lists this ribosomal RNA (446 nucleotides) under uncultured organism. RNAcentral's name for it is "partial 16S ribosomal RNA". It matches the Rfam family "Bacterial small subunit ribosomal RNA", at positions 335 to 797 of the family's 1533-position model. The record is from RNAcentral.